This 252-nucleotide ribosomal RNA is filed under the name uncultured bacterium. RNAcentral describes it as "partial 16S ribosomal RNA". It matches the Rfam family "Bacterial small subunit ribosomal RNA", at positions 524 to 776 of the family's 1533-position model. The record is from RNAcentral.
UACGUAGGUCCCGAGCGUUAUCCGGAUUUAUUGGGCGUAAAGCGAGCGCAGGCGGUUUGAUAAGUUUAAAGUGAAAGGCUGGGGCUUAACCAUAGUAUGCUUUGGAAACUGUUUAACUUGAGUGCAGAAGGGGGGAGUGGAAUUCCAUGUGUAGCGGUGAAAUGCGUAGAUAUAUGGAGGAACACCGGUGGCGAAAGCGGCUCUCUGGUCAGUAACUGACGCUGAGGCUCGAAAGCGUGGGGAGCAAACAGG